AAAAACUAUAAUUCUUUAAAUAAGGAUAAAAUUGUAAUUUGAAACUAUUUACUCCCAAUCCAAGACAAAGUAAACACAUAAAUUAGAUUCUGAUCUCUAUUCCAUGCUUCCAUUCCAGUGUAAGUAAACAACCUACUCCCACUCCACACUCCCAAUUUUAGGAUUUCCACUCCUCAGGAUUCCCAAUCCAAUCCAAAAAGUAAACUCUACCUAAGUGAGGCCACUGCUUUGAUUCUCAUUUCAUCUUUUAUUUAAGUAAGUAAAUACAUAAUUCAUGCCCAUUCUUUGAUUCUCAUUCUCAUUCUUAAUAAGCAAACACACCAUAACAAGAAAGAAUAAACUUUUUAGAAUCUAAAGAAAUCACUACGUAGGUUGAGGAAUGUCGGUGAGUUUUGGUUUCACGCUUACAGAGAAAAUGCUCUUUUAUCUUUUGUGUAUUAUUGUAAAUUGAAAUGCGGAUAAAAUUGUAAUUAUAACAGGGGGUUUGAUAAAGAUGUUCUUAAGGGUGCCCAUUGUGUCACUCUCCAAUAAAAUGGUCGUUGGGCCCAACUUCCUUAACCCAAAUUUGCUUGGGCUGAACACAACCUCAUACAAUCCACGUCAUUGUGUUUCAUUCAACCACAAUCUUGAACAUUGAAACUAUCCCAUGAAAGAAUAAAAUACAAUAGAGUAAUGUAAUACUUAAUUGAGAUACUUAAUUUGUAUAUUAGUUGAUGUGGUAAAUUAUUUGAUAUUAUUUAAUUGAUUUAGGAAAUAAUUAGUUAUUA
This 767-nucleotide long non-coding RNA is filed under the name Citrus x clementina. RNAcentral describes it as "Citrus clementina (C. clementina) long non-coding RNA (CCLE_LNC001630)". Lineage: Eukaryota; Viridiplantae; Streptophyta; Magnoliopsida; Sapindales; Rutaceae. The record is from RNAcentral.